This 229-nucleotide ribosomal RNA is filed under the name uncultured bacterium. RNAcentral's name for it is "partial 16S ribosomal RNA". It matches the Rfam family "Bacterial small subunit ribosomal RNA", at positions 568 to 796 of the family's 1533-position model. The record is from RNAcentral.
UGCGCAGGCGGGCUUGUAAGUCAGUGGUGAAAUACUGCCGCUCAACGGUAGAACUGCCAUUGAUACUGCAAGUCUUGAAUAUGGUUGAGGUAGGCGGAAUGUGUCGUGUAGCGGUGAAAUGCAUAGAUAUGACACAGAACGCCAAUUGCGAAGGCAGCUUACUAAGCCGUUAUUGACGCUGAGGCACGAAAGCGUGGGGAGCGAACAGGAUUAGAUACCCUGGUAGUCC